This is a long non-coding RNA of Dipodomys ordii (Ord's kangaroo rat), 237 nucleotides long. RefSeq lists it as uncharacterized. The transcript has 2 exons. The record is from RefSeq and is a predicted model, not a curated record. NCBI's taxonomy places the organism in Eukaryota, Metazoa, Chordata, Mammalia, Rodentia, Heteromyidae.
ACCCCGUGUUCGGCGAGGCCGCCUCCGUGGAGCUGCCGCCCAGCCUGGCCCUGGAGAGGGUCGACGCCCGCCAAAGCUACUUCGUCAACCCGCUCUUCACCUUCACCGCCGAGGCCGAGGCCCAGGCCUGACCGCGGCUGCCCCGCCCGCCUUCUGCCUGGCCCCCGACCUCUGCCCUCUGACCCCGACCUUCCCUGCUCUCUCCUUGGACCAAGAACCAAUAAAGGGUUUUCUGUG